RNAcentral lists this ribosomal RNA (253 nucleotides) under uncultured bacterium. Its description in RNAcentral is "partial 16S ribosomal RNA". It matches the Rfam family "Bacterial small subunit ribosomal RNA", at positions 524 to 776 of the family's 1533-position model. The record is from RNAcentral.
UACGUAGGUGGCAAGCGUUGUCCGGAAUUAUUGGGCGUAAGGCGCGCGUAGGUGGUUUGUUAAGUUGGAUGUGAAAUCCCCGGGCUCAACCUGGGAACUGCAUUCAAAACUGACUGACUAGAGUAUGGUAGAGGGUGGUGGAAUUUCCUGUGUAGCGGUGAAAUGCGUAGAUAUAGGAAGGAACACCAGUGGCGAAGGCGACCACCUGGACUAAUACUGACGCUGAGGUGCGAAAGCGUGGGGAGCAAACAGG